UGUAUACCGCAUAGUAUCUGUGGAUUAAAGGUGGCUUUUGGGCUGUCGCAGAUGGAUGAGCCUGCGUUGGAUUAGCUAGUUGGUGGGGUAAGGGCUUACCAAGGCUACGAUCCAUAGCUGAUUUGAGAGGAUGAUCAGCCACAUUGGGACUGAGACACGGCCCAAACUCCUACGGGAGGCAGCAGUGAGGAAUAUUGGACAAUGGGGGCAACCCUGAUCCAGCAAUGCCAUGUGUGUGAAGAAGGCCUUAGGGUUGUAAAGCACUUUAGUUGGGGAAGAAAGCUUUGAGGUUAAUAGCCUUGAGGAAGGACGUUACCCAAAGAAUAAGCACCGGCUAACUCCGUGCCAGCAGCCGCGGUAAUACGGGGGGUGCAAGCGUUAAUCGGAAUUACUGGGCGUAAAGGGUCUGUAGGUGGUUUGUUAAGUCAGAUGUGAAAGCCCAGGGCUCAACCUUGGAACUGCAUUUGAUACUGGCAAACUAGAGUACGGUAGAGGAAUGGGGAAUUUCUGGUGUAGCGGUGAAAUGCGUAGAGAUCAGAAGGAACACCAAUGGCGAAGGCAACAUUCUGGACCGAUACUGACACUGAGGGACGAAAGCGUGGGGAUCAAACAGGAUUAGAUACCCUGGUAGUCCAUGCUGUAAACGAUGAGUACUAGCUGUUGGAGUCGGUGUAAAGGCUCUAGUGGCGCAGCUAACGCGAUAAGUACUCCGCCUGGGGACUACGGCCGCAAGGCUAAAACUCAAAGGAAUUGACGGGGACCCGCACAAGCGGUGGAGCAUGUGGUUUAAUUCGAUGCAACGCGAAGAACCUUACCUGGUCUUGACAUCCUGCGAGCUUUCUAGAGAUAGAUUGGUGCCUUCGGGAACGCAGUGACAGGUGCUGCACGGCUGUUGUCAGCUCGUGUUGUGAAAUGUUGGGUUAAGUCCCGCAACGAGCGCAACCCCUAUUGAUAGUUACCAUCAUUAAGUUGGGUACUCUAUUGAGACUGCCGCUGACAAGGCGGAGGAAGGUGGGGACGACGUCAAGUCAUCAUGGCCCUUACGACCAGGGCUACACACGUGCUACAAUGGUAUACAGA
This 1080-nucleotide ribosomal RNA is filed under the name Francisella endosymbiont of Hyalomma lusitanicum. RNAcentral describes it as "bacterial SSU rRNA". It matches the Rfam family "Bacterial small subunit ribosomal RNA", at positions 163 to 1241 of the family's 1533-position model. Lineage: Bacteria; Pseudomonadati; Pseudomonadota; Gammaproteobacteria; Thiotrichales; Francisellaceae. The record is from RNAcentral.